This is a non-coding RNA of Zea mays, 73 nucleotides long. NCBI's taxonomy places the organism in Eukaryota, Viridiplantae, Streptophyta, Magnoliopsida, Poales, Poaceae. The record is from Rfam.
GUUAGGAUAGCUCAGUUAGUAGAGCAGAGGACUGCAAAUCCUCGUGUCACCAGUUCAAAUCUAGUUCCUGGCA